RNAcentral lists this transfer RNA (74 nucleotides) under Cordylochernes scorpioides. RNAcentral describes it as "tRNA-Thr". It matches the Rfam family "tRNA". From Rfam's summary of the family: Transfer RNA (tRNA) molecules are approximately 80 nucleotides in length. Their secondary structure includes four short double-helical elements and three loops (D, anti-codon, and T loops). The record is from RNAcentral. Lineage: Eukaryota; Metazoa; Arthropoda; Arachnida; Pseudoscorpiones; Chernetidae.
CACAGGGUAGCCUAGUGGACAUGGCAUCUGCCUGGUUAGCGGAAAACUGUGGGUUCGAUUCCCAUCCCUGGACA